ACGGCUCAGUAACACGUAGUCAACAUGCCCAGGGGACGUGGAUAACCUCGGGAAACUGAGGAUAAACCGCGAUAAGUCACUACUUCUGGAAUGGGUAAUGACUAAAAUCUAUAUGGCCCCUGGAUUGGACUGCGGCCGAUCAGGCUGUUGGUGAGGUAAUGGCCCACCAAACCUGUAACCGGUACGGGCUCUGAGAGGAGGAGCCCGGAGAUGGGCACUGAGACAAGGGCCCAGGCCCUAUGGGGCGCAGCAGGCGCGAAACCUCUGCAAUAGGCGAAAGCCUGACAGGGUUACUCUGAGUGAUUUCCGUUAAGGAGAUCUUUUGGCAUCUCUAAAAAUGGUGCAGAAUAAGGGGUGGGCAAGUCUGGUGUCAGCCGCCGCGGUAAUACCAGCACCCCGAGUGGUCGGGACGUUUAUUGGGCCUAAAGCAUCCGUAGCCGGUUCUACAAGUCUUCCGUUAAAUCCACCUGCUUAACAGAUGGGCUGCGGAAGAUACUAUGGAGCUAGGAGGCGGGAGAGGCAAGCGGUACUCGAUGGGUAGGGGUAAAAUCCGUUGAUCCAUUGAAGACCACCAGUGGCGAAGGCGGCUUGCCAGAACGCGCUCGACGGUGAGGGAUGAAAGCUGGGGGAGCAAACCGGAUUAGAUACCCGGGUAGUCCCAGCUGUAAACGAUGCAGACUCGGUGAUGAGUUGGCUUCUUGCCAACUCAGUGCCGCAGGGAAGCCGUUAAGUUUGCCGCCUGGGGAGUACGGUCGCAAGACUGAAACUUAAAGGAAUUGGCGGGGGAG
This 788-nucleotide ribosomal RNA is filed under the name uncultured archaeon. RNAcentral describes it as "bacterial SSU rRNA". It matches the Rfam family "Archaeal small subunit ribosomal RNA", at positions 85 to 876 of the family's 1478-position model. The record is from RNAcentral.